AACGAACGCUGGCGGCAGGCCUAACACAUGCAAGUCGAACGAGAAGCUGGAGCUUGCUCCAGUGGAAAGUGGCAGACGGGUGAGUAACGCGUGGGAAUUUACCCAGUGGUACGGAAUAACUCAGGGAAACUUGUGCUAAUACCGUAUAAGCCCUUCGGGGGAAAGAUUUAUCGCCAUUGGAUGAGCCCGCGUUAGAUUAGUUUGUUGGUGGGGUAAUGGCCUACCAAGACUACGAUCUAUAGCUGGUCUGAGAGGAUGAUCAGCCACACUGGGACUGAGACACGGCCCAGACUCCUACGGGAGGCAGCAGUGGGAAUAUUGCACAAUGGGCGCAAGCCUGAUGCAGCCAUGCCGCGUGAGUGAAGAAGGCCUUAGGGUUGUAAAACUCUUUCACCGGUGAAGAUAAUGACGGUAGCCGGAGAAGAAG
Molecule: ribosomal RNA, 427 nt
Filed under: uncultured bacterium
Lineage: Bacteria
Description: bacterial SSU rRNA
Rfam family: Bacterial small subunit ribosomal RNA
Source: RNAcentral